Molecule: ribosomal RNA, 253 nt
Filed under: uncultured bacterium
Lineage: Bacteria
Description: partial 16S ribosomal RNA
Rfam family: Bacterial small subunit ribosomal RNA
Source: RNAcentral
UACGUAGGGUGCAAGCGUUGUCCGGAAUUAUUGGGCGUAAAGAGCUCGUAGGCGGUUUGUCGCGUCGAAUGUGAAAACCCGGGGCUCAACCCCGGGCCCGCAUUCGAUACGGGCAGACUAGAGUUCGGUAGGGGAGUCUGGAAUUCCUGGUGUAGCGGUGAAAUGCGCAGAUAUCAGGAGGAACACCGGUGGCGAAGGCGGGACUCUGGGCCGAUACUGACGCUGAGGAGCGAAAGCGUGGGGAGCAAACAGG